UUGAACGCUGGCGGCAGGCCUAACACCUGCAAGUCGAGCGGAUGAAGGGAGCUUGCUCCUGGAUUCAGCGGCGGACGGGUGAGUAAUGCCUAGGAAUCUGCCUGGUAGUGGGGGAUAACGUCCGGAAACGGGCGCUAAUACCGCAUACGUCCUGAGGGAGAAAGUGGGGGAUCUUCGGACCUCACGCUAUCAGAUGAGCCUAGGUCGGAUUAGCUAGUUGGUGGGGUAAAGGCCUACCAAGGCGACGAUCCGUAACUGGUCUGAGAGGAUGAUCAGUCACACCGGAACUGAGACACGGUCCAGACUCCUACGGGAGGCAGCAGUGGGGAAUAUUGGACAAUGGGCGAAAGCCUGAUCCAGCCAUGCCGCGUGUGUGAAGAAGGUCUUCGGAUUGUAAAGCACUUUAAGUUGGGAGGAAGGGCAGUAAGUUAAUACCUUGCUGUUUUGACGUUACCAACAGAAUAAGCACCGGCUAACUUCGUG
This 483-nucleotide ribosomal RNA is filed under the name uncultured bacterium. RNAcentral's name for it is "partial 16S ribosomal RNA". It matches the Rfam family "Bacterial small subunit ribosomal RNA", at positions 30 to 507 of the family's 1533-position model. The record is from RNAcentral.